This 940-nucleotide ribosomal RNA is filed under the name uncultured crenarchaeote. Its description in RNAcentral is "bacterial SSU rRNA". It matches the Rfam family "Archaeal small subunit ribosomal RNA", at positions 1 to 922 of the family's 1478-position model. The record is from RNAcentral. Lineage: Archaea; Thermoproteati; Thermoproteota.
UUCCGGUUGAUCCCGCCGGAUCCGACUGCUAUCCGGGUAAGACUAAGCCAUGCAAGUCGAAUGGAAUCGCGGGAUUCCAUGGCAAACUGCUCAGUAACAAGUGAUCAACUUACCCUUUAGUGGGGCCUAACCUCGGGAAACUGAGGCUAAUUCCCCAUAGUUGAAGUGGCCUGGAAGGGUAUUUCAUCGAAAGACGCACCCCUAUGUGAGUGUGGUCGCUGAAGGAUAGGAUCGCUCUCGAUUACGGUAGUUGGUGAGGUAAUGGCUCACCAAGCCUAUGAUCGAUAAGGGCCGUGAGAGCGGGAGCCCUGAGAUGGGGACUGAGACAAUGCCCCAGGCCUUACGAGGCGCAGCAGGCGCGAAACCUUUACAAUGCACGCCAGUGUGAUAAGGUUACCCGGAGUGCCAUGAGUAAAACUUUUGGCUGUUAUAGGUGUGUAGCUAACCCUAUGAGAAAGGAGAGGGCAAGGCUGGUGCCAGCCGCCGCGGUAAAACCAGCUCUUCAAGUGGUCGGGAAUAUUAUUGGGCUUAAAGUGUCCGUAGCCGGUUUGAUAAGUUCCUGGUAAAAUCUGGUCGCUUAACGAUCAGUAGGCUAGGAAUACUAUCUUACUAGAGGGCGGGAAAGGUCUGAGGUACUCCAGGGGUAGCGGUGAAAUGCUAUAAUCCUUGGGGGACCACCAGUGGCGAAGGCGUCAGACUGGAACGCGCCUGACGGUGAGGGACGAAAGCCAGGGGAGCGAACGGGAUUAGAUACCCCGGUAGUCCUGGCCGUAAACGAUGCGUGCUAGGUGUUGGUAGGGCUAUGAGCUGUAUCAGUGCCGUAGGGAAACUGUUAAGCGCGCCGCCUGGGAAGUACGCUCGCAAGGGUGAAACUUAAAGGAAUUGGCGGGGGAGCACCACAAGGGGUGAAGCCUGCGGUUCAAUUGGAGUCAACGCCGGG